UACAGAGGGGGCAAGCGUUAUUCGGAAUUAUUGGGCGUAAAGGGCGCGUAGGCGGCUUGGCAAGUGGAAGGUGAAAUCCCUCGGCUUAACCGAGGAACUGCCCUCCAGACUGCUUUGCUUGAGGCCGGGAGAGGUGAGUGGAAUUCCCAGUGUAGCGGUGAAAUGCGUAGAUAUUGGGAGGAACACCAGUGGCGAAGGCGGCUCACUGGACCGGUUCUGACGCUGAGGCUGCGAAAGCGUGGGGAGCAAACGGG
Molecule: ribosomal RNA, 254 nt
Filed under: uncultured bacterium
Lineage: Bacteria
Description: partial 16S ribosomal RNA
Rfam family: Bacterial small subunit ribosomal RNA
Source: RNAcentral